CAUAUACUUGAUAAUCAUGUAAACUGUGUAUCCUACAUCCAUUAAGUUGCAUAUCUUUAGGAUUUGAUCCCAAUUUAUCCAUAUGGCAUGAUCAUGGCAAUGACUCAAUUAAACUCGUGCAAGAUUUGUGCAUGAGCGGGCUACUCUUUAGUUUCAUCAACUCUCAACAUGUAGCAUAUUGAUAUUACGAAAGAAGUUGCAUUCUCUACUCUCUAGAUCAUAGAUUCUUUUGAGCAGUUCCACAGCAGUGUUGGAAAAUGCUCUGUCUCUUGCUAAGCGAUAAGUGACAUGGGAACUGCGACAAGGGGAGUAGUAAUGCUUGAUCUUUCCUCUUCUACUUCU
This 342-nucleotide long non-coding RNA is filed under the name Nicotiana benthamiana. RNAcentral's name for it is "long non-coding RNA (NBEN_LNC001955)". The record is from RNAcentral. Lineage: Eukaryota; Viridiplantae; Streptophyta; Magnoliopsida; Solanales; Solanaceae.